Molecule: long non-coding RNA, 1123 nt
Organism: Polistes canadensis
Lineage: Eukaryota; Metazoa; Arthropoda; Insecta; Hymenoptera; Vespidae
Exons: 2
Source: RefSeq, a predicted model, not a curated record
UUUAAAUAAUUAUUUUUCAAUAAUUCAAAUAAGAUAUAAUGUACGCAGGGGGAGUAUAAUUAAGUAAUGUUUAAACAAUAGCACAUUUAUUUAAACAUCACAUGUCUAUUGAGCGUUCAGGGAGAGAAAAGGUCUUGAACAUUCAACAUCUAAUACUUUUUGCAAUAUUGGUAGUUCCUUUAACUUACUUUACAAUUAAUGAUAUUCUAUUUUUAUUGUCAUUACUAUUAUUGUAAUAUUACUACUUAGUACAUUAUAAAAUUUGUUUUUUUUUUUUUUACUUGAAUUAAAAAUGAAGAUCAUUUAUUUAAGAAAUUUAUUUUAAAUUUUGUUAAGAAAUAAUGUGGUCUCAUAUAUCGAGAUAAAAAAGUAAUAUUUUGUUCACCUCACGGAGGGAGAAAGGUAUUUCAUCGAAUUGUUCGUUAACGGACUCAUAACGAGCGGGCUUUUAACGAGACUCGACUGUACUAUUGAAAUUUGAAACAUUGAACAAGUACGCCACCUGGCAAUGAAAUGCUUAAACUAACAUAGAAAACACGUCUCUGAUACCAACGGGUUAUAUUACUUACUCGUGUAAUAUGCACUUCCAUAUACGUAAAAUAAAUGAUAUAUCAAAGAAAGAUUUAACUUUUAUAGAUGUCUUUUUUAAAUUAAAAAUCAGUUUAUUUCUACGUACGCGAAUAAAGAAUUGAAAAAGAAUACAGCAGUACGAUGUCCCAUCGAAGAGGAAUAAAAGGGACAGGUAUUGUAUUCCGAUUAUGGUCAACGCGUGUGCAAAACCCGUCCCAGAGGAAUAUGGAGACUUGCUAGCCUCCGUGCUUUUAACAAGAGCCUUAUUUGUUGAGCGAAACUCCGUAUGUACAUAUAUGUACUAGUUCUGUCACGGUAUGGUUUCCACAAUGAAGCAAAAAUGCCAACGACAUGAAAGAGCUCGCCAAGUAAAAGCUUUCUGUUACCUGAGAAAAUCCACACUGCUAACAAAUACUAUCAAAUUAUCGAAAGGUAUACGAACUUGGUGCACACAUAUGCAUCGGUAAUUAUGACUAUGGACUAAUUGUAAGUUAAGAAUUUUAUUUUACGAUUUAUCUUAUUAAACAAAUAACUACUAUAAAAUAAUAAAUCA